UGCAAGUCGAACGUGAUCCAGGCUUCGGUCUGGUGAAAGUGGCAGACGGGUGAGUAACGCGUGGGAACCUGCCCUGUGGUAGGGAAUAACCGCGGGAAACUGCGGCUAAUACCCUAUGAGUCCUUCGGGAGAAAGAUUUAUCGCCAUAGGAGGGGCCCGCGUCGGAUUAGGUAGUUGGUGGGGUAACGGCCUACCAAGCCUUCGAUCCGUAGCUGGUCUGAGAGGAUGAUCAGCCACACUGGGACUGAGAUACGGCCCAGACUCCUACGGGAGGCAGCAGUGGGGAAUAUUGGACAAUGGGGGCAACCCUGAUCCAGCAAUGCCGCGUGGGUGAUGAAGGCCUUCGGGUUGUAAAGCCCUUUCGGCGGGGAAGAUGAUGACGGUACCCGCAGAAGAAGCCCCGGCUAACUUCGUGCCAGCAGCCGCGGUAAUACGAAGGGGGCUAGCGUUGUUCGGAAUUACUGGGCGUAAAGGGCGCGUAGGCUGUGCUGUAAGUCAGGCGUGAAAGGCCCGGGCUCAACCUGGGAAUGGCGCUUGAUACUGCGGCGCUGGAAGGCAGGAGAGGAUGGCGGAAUUCCCAGUGUAGAGGUGAAAUUCGUAGAUAUUGGGAAGAACACCGGUGGCGAAGGC
Molecule: ribosomal RNA, 630 nt
Filed under: uncultured Alphaproteobacteria bacterium
Lineage: Bacteria; Pseudomonadati; Pseudomonadota; Alphaproteobacteria
Description: bacterial SSU rRNA
Rfam family: Bacterial small subunit ribosomal RNA
Source: RNAcentral